GCAGUCGCCGCGGUAAUACGAGGGGGCUAGCGUUGUUCGGAAUUACUGGGCGUAAAGCGCACGUAGGCGGCUUUGUAAGUUAGAGGUGAAAGCCCGGAGCUCAACUCCGGAAUUGCCUUUAAGACUGCCGAGCUAGCAGGUGAGAGAGGUAAGUGGAAUUCCGAGUGUAGAGGUGAAAUUCGUAGAUAUUCGGAAGAACACCAGUGGCGAAGGCGGCUUACUGGCUCAUACUGGACGCUGAGGUGCGAAAGCGUGGGGAGCAAACAGGAUUAGAUACCCCCGUAGUCCCUGUCUCUUAUACA
This 302-nucleotide ribosomal RNA is filed under the name uncultured bacterium. RNAcentral's name for it is "partial 16S ribosomal RNA". It matches the Rfam family "Bacterial small subunit ribosomal RNA", at positions 508 to 808 of the family's 1533-position model. The record is from RNAcentral.